This 388-nucleotide ribosomal RNA is filed under the name uncultured bacterium. RNAcentral's name for it is "bacterial SSU rRNA". It matches the Rfam family "Bacterial small subunit ribosomal RNA", at positions 30 to 416 of the family's 1533-position model. The record is from RNAcentral.
AUUGAACGCUGGCGGCAUGCCUUACACAUGCAAGUCGAACGGCAGCACGGGGCAACCUGGUGGCGAGUGGCGAACGGGUGAGUAAUGCAUCGGAACGUGCCAUUGAGUGGGGAUAACGUAGCGAAAGUUGCGCUAAUACCGCAUAUUCUGUGAGCAGGAAAGCAGGGGGACCGCAAGGCCUUGCGCUCUUUGAGCGGCCGAUGUCAGAUUAGCUAGUUGGUGAGGUAACGGCUUACCAAGGCGACGAUCUGUAGCGGGUCUGAGAGGAUGAUCCGCCACACUGGAACUGAGACACGGUCCAGACUCCUACGGGAGGCGAGCAGUGGGGGAAUUUUGGGACAAUGGGCGGCAAGCCUGAUCCAGCCAUGCCGCGUGAGUGAAGAAGGCC